GAUUUAAUCGUGAAACCGCGAAUGGCUCAUUAUAACAGCUAUAAUUUACUUGAUCUUGACUCAAUCCUACUUGGAUAACUGUGGUAAUUCUAGAGCUAAUACAUGCAUUAAUGCUCUGACCUCACGGGAAGAGUGCAUUUAUUAGAACAAAACCAAGCGGCUUCGGCUGUUUCUGGUUGACUCAUAGUAACUGAGCUGAUCGCACGGUCUUGUACCGGCGACGUGUCUUUCAAGUAUCUGCCGUAUCAACUUUCGAUGGUAGUGUAUCUGACUACCAUGGUGAUCACGCGUAACGGAGAAUAAGGGUUCGGCUCCGGAGAGUUCGCCUGAGAAAUCGCGAACACAUCUAAGGAAGGCAGCAGGCGCGAAAAUUACCCACUCUCAGCACGAGGAGGUAGUGACGAAAAAUAACGAGACCGUUCUCUUCUGAGGCCGGUCAUCGGAAUGGGCACAAUUUAAACCCUUUAACGAGUAUCUAUGAGAGGGCAAGACUGGUGCCAGCAGCCGCGGUAAUUCCAGCUCUCAAAGUGCAUAGAAUUAUUGCUGCGGUUAAAAAGCUCGUAGUUGGAUCUGUGCCAUAGGACGUGGUCCACCUUCGGGUGCGUACUACGCUCCUAGGCUUUUUGCUGGUUUUCCCGUCGUAGCCUUCACUGGUUGCGGCGGGUGGCUGGCGAGUUUACUUUGAGAAAAUCAGAGUGCUCAAUACAGGCGUAUCGCUUGAAUGAUUGUGCAUGGAAUAAUAGAAAAGGAUUUCGGUCCUCUUUUAUUGGUUUUGUGGACUGAGAUAAUGGUUAACAGGGACAAACGGGGGCCUUCGUAUCGCUGCGUGAGAGGUGAAAU
RNAcentral lists this ribosomal RNA (840 nucleotides) under Dicelis rubidi. RNAcentral describes it as "SSU rRNA". It matches the Rfam family "Eukaryotic small subunit ribosomal RNA", at positions 72 to 917 of the family's 1831-position model. Lineage: Eukaryota; Metazoa; Nematoda; Chromadorea; Rhabditida; Drilonematidae. The record is from RNAcentral.